CCUGCCCCCAGAGGCACUGCAGGUGUGGCUGCUGUGUGGCGGAAAGGAGGGAGGCGGGUCUGUCUAUGCUCAGUCUUCUGACCCGUGAACAUCUGAAUGAUGAGUGGCCUAACAUC
Molecule: small nucleolar RNA, 116 nt
Filed under: Meriones unguiculatus (Mongolian gerbil)
Lineage: Eukaryota; Metazoa; Chordata; Mammalia; Rodentia; Muridae
Description: Small nucleolar RNA SNORA17 (ENSMUGG00000026450.1)
Rfam family: Small nucleolar RNA SNORA17
About the family: snoRNA ACA 17 belongs to the H/ACA family of snoRNAs and is predicted to guide pseudouridylation of the 28S rRNA at positions U4659 and U4598. It shares the same host gene together with ACA43.
Source: RNAcentral